UGACAGGUGGUGCAUGGUUGUCGUCAGCUCGUGUCGUGAGAUGUUGGGUUAAGUCCCGCAACGAGCGCAACCCCUAUUGUUAGUUGCCAUCAUUCAGUUGGGCACUCUAGCGAGACUGCCGGUAAUAAACCGGAGGAAGGUGGGGAUGACGUCAAAUCAUCAUGCCCCUUAUGACCUGGGCCACACACGUGCUACAAUGGUUGGUACAACGAGUUGCGAGUCGGUGACGGCGAGCUAAUCUCUUAAAGCCAAUCUCAGUUCGGAUUGUAGGCUGCAACUCGCCUACAUGAAGUCGGAAUCGCUAGUAAUCGCGGAUCAGCACGCCGCGGUGAAUACGUUCCCGGGCCUU
RNAcentral lists this ribosomal RNA (349 nucleotides) under uncultured Streptococcus sp. RNAcentral describes it as "bacterial SSU rRNA". It matches the Rfam family "Bacterial small subunit ribosomal RNA", at positions 1032 to 1382 of the family's 1533-position model. Lineage: Bacteria; Bacillati; Bacillota; Bacilli; Lactobacillales; Streptococcaceae. The record is from RNAcentral.